AGAGUUUGAUCAUGGCUCAGAUUGAACGCUGGCGGAAUGCUUUACACAUGCAAGUCGAACGAUGAACCUUAGCUUGCUAGGGGGAUUAGUGGCGAACGGGUGAGUAAUAUAUCGGAACGUGCCUUGUAAUGGGGGAUAACUAGUCGAAAGAUUAGCUAAUACCGCAUACGCCCUGAGGGGGAAAGUAGGGGAUCUUCGGACCUUACGUUAUAAGAGCGGCCGAUAUCUGAUUAGCUAGUUGGUGGGGUAAUGGCCUACCAAGGCUUCGAUCAGUAGCUGGUCUGAGAGGACGACCAGCCACACUGGAACUGAGACACGGUCCAGACUCCUACGGGAGGCAGCAGUGGGGAAUAUUGGACAAUGGGCGCAAGCCUGAUCCAGCCAUGCCGCGUGAGUGACGAAGGUCUUCGGAUUGUAAAGCUCUUUUGGCGGGGACGAUAAUGACGGUACCCGCAGAAUAAGCCCCGGCUAACUUCGUGCCAGCAGCCGCGGUAAUACGA
RNAcentral lists this ribosomal RNA (500 nucleotides) under uncultured bacterium. Its description in RNAcentral is "bacterial SSU rRNA". It matches the Rfam family "Bacterial small subunit ribosomal RNA", at positions 8 to 528 of the family's 1533-position model. The record is from RNAcentral.